AUUUUAAUAGCUUAUUUAGAGCAUAAUACUGAAGAUAUUGGGGAGAUAUACUUAUCUUAAAAUA
This 64-nucleotide transfer RNA is filed under the name Anatkina vespertinula. Its description in RNAcentral is "tRNA-Phe". The record is from RNAcentral. Lineage: Eukaryota; Metazoa; Arthropoda; Insecta; Hemiptera; Cicadellidae.